This 523-nucleotide ribosomal RNA is filed under the name uncultured bacterium. RNAcentral's name for it is "bacterial SSU rRNA". It matches the Rfam family "Bacterial small subunit ribosomal RNA", at positions 133 to 651 of the family's 1533-position model. The record is from RNAcentral.
GUCGUGGGGGAUAACUGCUCGAAAGAGCAGCUAAUACCGCAUACGACCUGAGGGUGAAAGCGGGGGAUCUUCGGACCUCGCGCGAUUGGAGCGGCCGAUAUCAGAUUAGGUAGUUGGUGGGGUAAAGGCCUACCAAGCCGACGAUCUGUAGCUGGUCUGAGAGGACGACCAGCCACACUGGGACUGAGACACGGCCCAGACUCCUACGGGAGGCAGCAGUGGGGAAUUUUGGACAAUGGGGGCAACCCUGAUCCAGCCAUGCCGCGUGCGGGAAGAAGGCCUUCGGGUUGUAAACCGCUUUUGUCAGGGAAGAAAUCCUUUGGGCUAAUAACUCGGAGGGAUGACGGUACCUGAAGAAUAAGCACCGGCUAACUACGUGCCAGCAGCCGCGGUAAUACGUAGGGUGCAAGCGUUAAUCGGAAUUACUGGGCGUAAAGCGUGCGCAGGCGGUUAUGCAAGACAGAUGUGAAAUCCCCGGGCUCAACCUGGGAACUGCAUUUGUGACUGCAUGGCUAGAGUACGG